This 846-nucleotide ribosomal RNA is filed under the name uncultured archaeon. Its description in RNAcentral is "bacterial SSU rRNA". It matches the Rfam family "Archaeal small subunit ribosomal RNA", at positions 73 to 922 of the family's 1478-position model. The record is from RNAcentral.
AAUACGUGGCACACGGCUCAGUAACACGUAGUCAACAUAACCAAAGGACGUGGAUAAACUCGGGAAACUGAGGCUAAACCGCGAUAGAUCAAGAUAUCUGGAAUGGUUUUUGAUCAAAAUCUAUAUGGCCUUUGGAUUGGACUGCGUCCGAUCAGGCUGUUGGUGAGGUAAUGGCCCACCAAACCUGUAACCGGUACGGGCUCUGAGAGGAGGAGCCCGGAGAUGGGUACUGAGAAAAGGACCCAGGCCCUAUGGGGCGCAGCAGGCGCGAAACCUCUGCAAUAGGCGAAAGCCUGACAGGGUUACUCUGAGUGACUUUCGCUAAGAAAGUCUUUUGACACCUCUAAAAAUGGUGUAGAAUAAGGGGUGGGCAAGUCUGGUGUCAGCCGCCGCGGUAAUACCAGCACCCCGAGUGGUCGGGACGAUUAUUGGGCCUAAAGCAUCCGUAGCCGGUUUUACAAGUCCUCCGUUAAAUCCAGCUGCUUAACAGAUGGGCUGCGGAGGAUACUAUAAGACUAGGAGGCAGGAGAGGCAAGCGGUACUCAGUGGGUAGGGGUAAAAUCCGUUGAUCCAUUGAAGACCACCAGUGGCGAAGGCGGCUUGCCAGAAUGCGCUCGACGGUGAGGGAUGAAAGCUGGGGGAGCAAACCGGAUUAGAUACCCGGGUAGUCCCAGCUGUAAACGAUGCAGACUCGGUGAUGGACUAGCUUUAUGCUAGUCCAGUGCCGCAGGGAAGCCGUUAAGUCUGCCGCCUGGGUAGUACGGUCGCAAGACUGAAACUUAAAGGAAUUGGCGGGGGAGCACCACAAGGGGUGAAGCCUGCGGUUCAAUUGGAGUCAACGCCGGG